GAUGACCGCUGGCGGCGUGCCUAAUACAUGCAAGUAGAACGCAGAAGGAAGGAGCUUGCUCUUUCCGGAUGAGUUGCGAACGGGUGAGUAACGCGUAGGUAACCUGCCUGGUAGCGGGGGAUAACUAUUGGAAACGAUAGCUAAUACCGCAUAACAGUAGAUGUUGCAUGAUAUCUACUUAAAAGGUGCAAUUGCACCACUACCAGAUGGACCUGCGUUGUAUUAGCUAGGUGGUGAGGUAACGGCUCAACAAGGCGACGAUACAUAGCCGACCUGAGAGGGUGAUCGGCCACACUGGGACUGAGACACGGCCCAGACUCCUACGGGAGGCAGCAGUAGGGAAUCUUCGGCAAUGGACGGAAGUCUGACCGAGCAACGCCGCGCGAGUGAAGAAGGUUUUCGGAUCGUAAAGCUCUGUUGUAAGAGAAGAACGAGUGUGAGAGUGGAAAGUUCACACUGUGACGGUAUCUUACCAGAAAGGGACGGCUAACUACGUG
This 497-nucleotide ribosomal RNA is filed under the name uncultured bacterium. Its description in RNAcentral is "partial 16S ribosomal RNA". It matches the Rfam family "Bacterial small subunit ribosomal RNA", at positions 28 to 507 of the family's 1533-position model. The record is from RNAcentral.